AAGUCGUAUCAAGGUUUCCGUAGGUGAACCUGCGGAAGGAUCAUUACCGAGUUCAUGCCCCUCGGGGUAGACCUCCCACCCUUUGUAUACAUUGCCUUUGUUGCUUUGGCGGGCCGCCGUCCGCGGCCACCGGCUCCGGCUGGUGCGCGCCCGCCAGAGAACCCCCAAACCCUGUCUUACAGUGUCGUCCGAGUACUAUAUAAUAGUUAAAA
Molecule: unclassified non-coding RNA, 212 nt
Filed under: plant metagenome
Description: partial contains small subunit ribosomal RNA and internal transcribed spacer 1
Rfam family: Eukaryotic small subunit ribosomal RNA (bases 1-46)
Source: RNAcentral